AUAUCAAUAAGCGGAGGGAAAGAAACCAACAGGGAUUGCCUUAGUAACGGCGAGUGAAGCGGCAACAGCUCAAAUUUGAAAUCUGCCUCUAGGCCGAGUUGUAAUUUGUAGAAGAUGCUUUGGGUGUAGCUUCGGUCUAAGUUCCUUGGAACAGGACGUCAUAGAGGGUGAGAAUCCCGUAUGUGACUGGUAGCUUUCGCCCGUGUAAAGCUCUUUCGACGAGUCGAGUUGUUUGGGAAUGCAGCUCUAAAUGGGAGGUAAAUUUCUUCUAAAGCUAAAUACCGGCCAGAGACCGAUAGCGUACAAGUA
This 309-nucleotide ribosomal RNA is filed under the name uncultured eukaryote. RNAcentral's name for it is "partial large subunit ribosomal RNA". It matches the Rfam family "Eukaryotic large subunit ribosomal RNA", at positions 40 to 350 of the family's 3401-position model. The record is from RNAcentral.